ACCGAUGUUGAGGUUUGACGAUUCAUCUAUGACCUGCUAUCUGAUCGAGAUUCAUGAUAAAGAUACUGUAUUACAUGUUAACUGUAUUUAGAGGUUUAUCUUUUAUUCUGCUAGGUUGCCAUUACAUACUGUUAGGUGUUACUGGUGGAUUGUGAGACUCAUGAGGAUUAUCUUGAUGAUCAAUGAUCCUUGGUGGGUUGAGUUAGAAUUGUUUCAAUCCAUUGAAAAGAGUUUCAAUGAUAUUGUGAUAGAGAUUACAAUAUAUGUCUCACUACCAAAUAAAAUAGAAUCUAUAAGGUCACAAAUAAAAGAGGC
RNAcentral lists this long non-coding RNA (315 nucleotides) under Elaeis guineensis (African oil palm). RNAcentral's name for it is "long non-coding RNA (EGUI_LNC065381)". Lineage: Eukaryota; Viridiplantae; Streptophyta; Magnoliopsida; Arecales; Arecaceae. The record is from RNAcentral.